UCAGCAUUGCUAUGAACGCAACAAAGAAGGGAGGGGUGGAGAAAUAGGAUUCGGUAGAAUAACAUACUUUCUAGAACUGGCCCAUUCCCGCAGUGUGGGGGUAUGCUCUGCAAGAUCAAUCACAGGUUUGUUCUUUUGAAAAAUGCCACGAGGUCCAGGUGGGUUGGAUUUGUUGAGGUUUCCAAUGGAAAUAUUGAACAGGAAAACCCCACUAAUUUUACAACCAAAAAAAAAAAAAAAUGAGAACUGGAUGAUAACAUGCUUCUUCCAGUCCCAGUGUUUUGGGCUAUGUAGGGGGUGGAAGAUUUCCAUGCGGAGAUCUUGUUGAGAAAAAUGCAGUAAAUGUUCAGUUGAGCUUUUACCUCCUCUUCUAUUUUAUGUCCAUUAUUUAUGAUCAUUUGCAAAUAGAGGGCGCUUUUCAUCUUCAACUGCUUUACAACCAUUAACUGAAUAUUUAUAUUUUGUUAACGAGAGACAGGGGUUUUGGUUUUUUUUUUUUUUCCUCAGUUGCUGAGGUGAAGGUCUGACUACAAAAAAUGGAAAUCAUCAUUAGAAUGAUGGGGAAAAUUUUGCCACUGAUAUAGAGCCACUAAAUUGAGAGUCCAUGGAGGGCAAGGAGGGUAGUCAGAAAAUAAAUGACUGUUUCUCCAAAAGUGAUGGGGUUGAAUGGACCUGCCACUACUCUGAGGUUCAAAAAAAAUGCUCUUCUUAUAAUUAUAGCUUCCAGCAUGACUCCACAACCCUUUUAAUAGCGCCCCUCACCUAACACCCUGUCAGGGACUCUUCCCAUGAUGCUGAAAGUAGAUGCAUCUGAGAGAAGUGAAGCCACUCACCUUGAGAGGCUUCUUGGAAAAAGCCACAUCUUUGUGCCACAAGUAACAAUAUGGAAAAACUUAAUGAUCAUCUUAGCAUGGUUUCUACUACUUAGAGUGAGGAUGAAGACUUGAGCCACAGGACUGCUGCUUUUGGCAAGGCUGCCGUUUGGCAGUCUAUCAUUGACUAAGUCAUGCCAACCAGGGGUCCCUUGGUAUAUUUUGCUAUAAAAUAGAUACAGUGACACAUAAGUCCCUCCAAGAGAUGAAGCCAUAAUUCCUGUGACUAAAAAUAAAAUAAAAGAUUUUUGCCAGUUUGAGCCCAGUGCCCUAUACACAGAAGGGAUUCUCAACACGUGUUGAUUUGAUAUUGGACUUGAGGCCAGGGACUUUAGAAUACAGGAGUGGUUUCUAUUUGAGCCAAUUUCAUUCUUCGAUUCUCAUAUUUUUUUCUGUUUCUGUUAUUUUCUUCUAUUUGUGGUUGUGUCAACUGCUGAUAUGCCCCAGGUAAGGAAUCAGUCUCUCUCUCUCUCUCUCUCUCUCUCUCUCUCUCAUAUUGAGGAAACAAAACAAAAACAAAACCCUGUGAUGAUAUAUAGUAUUGUCAAAAGCCAUUUUUUGGCCAUAGUAAAUUAUUUUUAGUCAAAAAUAGGGAAUGAUGUUUUGGUUAAAAAUAUUCUGCUCAAUAAUGAAUGCAUAUACCAUCUAUGGAUGGCCAAUAUUGAGAGAAUUUAAAUUAACAAAACUUAUUUGGCCCCAAAUCUGUACUGAGCACAAUUUAACCUUUGAUAAUUCAAAAGUUCUACCAGGGUCUCAGAGUGAUAUGGGAUCCCACUGUAAUAAUAGCAUCUUUCAUUUCCGUAGUAAACGUUUCUAGAUAUUUUGUCUCAAUUCAUUGAAAUAGGAACCCAUAAAGAAAGGGUUCAGGGAGGACUCCUCCAAAGAUCCACAGUAGCCAGGGGAAUAAACACAGGUUGUUGGAUGCCGAGACACGCUCCAUCCACAACUCCCUCUGGGUUCUCAUGUACUCUAUUGGCUUCUGUGCUGGGUAGUCCUGAUUAAUGACAGUCGUGGAAUCGUGGGAGUCAAUGCACUUCUGUCCCACCCCACUCCCCUUGCAAGGAUCAAGGAGGAAACCUGACCCUCCCUCUGUUUCUUGGGCAGGUGAAGAUGCACACCAUGUCCUCCUCGCAUCUCUUCUACCUGGCGCUGUGCCUGCUCACCUUCACCAGCUCUGCCACGGCUGGACCGGAGACGCUCUGCGGGGCUGAGCUGGUGGAUGCUCUUCAGUUCGUGUGUGGAGACAGGGGCUUUUAUUUCAGUAAGUAGCCCUCCCUCUCAAUGUGCUGCUCAAGUCUAAAGUGUACAGCUCUGUGGAUUUACAACCGCAGGGAGUGUGUGAAUAACUGAAUGAGUGCCCGUAUCUGGCAGCCAUCCUAGGCCUCUGAGAUUCCUCACCUUAAAGUAAGCAUAGUGUUUUGGCGGGACUUUGGCAGGUUUUGCAGAUCUAGGAUGGAAUUUUCCUCCUUAACAAUUCGUCUUUAACUACUUCCUGCUAAGCCUUCUUUCAACUAUUAUGAUCCACCUCACUAUUCCAUUCCUUUCAAUGAAAGGACAGGACAAAAUAACCCUGAGGUAUUGAUGUUUUUGUUUUCAAAACCUAUGGGCGCACAUAUAAACAUAUGGAACACAUGCAGGGCUGCUUUAAGUGCUAUGUGAUUUGGAGUAAAAUAGUAAGGACUCUCCAGUCAUGUGGAUCUGGGAAAAAAAAUAUUAAAGGGCAUAUCCUAGAUGUCUCCAUUCAAUAUGAAAUCACCAUGAACAGACAGAAGGUUAACUCCCCUUAAAGGCAGGCCUGUUUGCAAAUACACAGACUGUCUCUAAAUGCAAACUGAAAUGCCAUACUGAUUUGCCCUCUAUGCCACUUGACCUUGAUUUUUUUGUUGUUGCUCUCUUUUGGCAUAGUUCUUCUCCGGGACCCAUCAAUGAUAUCACCAUCUGGAAAAGGGUCUCUGACAAGUACAGAAUCACUUAUCUCUUAAAUAGCUCUUAGGUGAUUAGAAAGUCAACAGCCAGUAAAAAGUAGACAGCCAAGUCAAGGCGUAUAAAUAAUACACACAAGCAAAAGUCAAUGAUUCCUGUGGGAACUGAUCACUUAAAGAAUCUAGCUCCCAUGCAUCUAUCUCACUGUAUAUUAUAGGACAGAGAAAGAUUUAAAGCCAGAUGCUUGUUCCUUAUAAUUCUUUGGAGUUUUAGAGAGUUCCAGGAAACUGAGCAUGAGUCAUUCUUAAAGGUUCAUAUCACUCCAGUGUAGACAGCUUACCUCAGUUACCCACUAUGCUUUGAAUAGCUCCUGUGAUGACUCACACACUUGAAGUCUCUCUCAUCCUUCCCAAAUGUCAGCCUCUCUCUAGGCAGGUGGGGUAUGUGUGUGUAUGACUGGCAGGGUAGAGGGUGGCCUGUGUAUACCAGUCUGGAGAUCAGUAAGGGAGAUGGGAAGAAAGAGGCUUGUGAGGGUAUUGGCGAUCAGUACUUACAGUGGAUUUGGCAACAAAUAGUUUUUAAAUCACUAGUGACAAAGAAUCAGAAGUGCCUUCUACUAUUUGAAUAGGCAAAUUCCCACUAUUUGCUUCCAGCCAGUCCUUUAAUUGAACGAACUCAUUUAUUUUUCUGGCAAUAAAGCAAUUCUAUCCAGUUCUCUGUUGCAGAGCAGAUGAAUGAGUGCAUUGGGUGAGUGAUUUUCCAAUAGCAGACUUGUUUUACCUUUAAAAUAUCCUGUGGAAGAUAACUGUGGGACAUCACAUGAUCCAACAGUGGGUCAUAAUUAUUCUAUAAUUUGCAGCUACUGAUCCUCAUUUUUUAAAGAAAUGAAAAAGUGGUUCUCACUUAUUAUGCCCAAGGGGACUUUUUUUUUCCUUGAUAAUCCAUUUGUGCAAUUUCCUUUGAUCCAGUUCACUAGGUAAUUGCCAAGCCUAGAAGUGUCCUCUGUUACGUGCCAGGUUGAAUUGUGAUGUUCAACACGACAUUGCUCCAGAAUUUCCAUGCACAGUGCAUGAAAACUGGAUCUUUCUAUGCCUAUGAUGUUUGCAUUAAAUGAUGAAAAAUUAGAAUGGAAAAAAUGAUUGUUCCUAAGUAACUGUAUGAUACUUAUAAGUGUUUGCACAGACACUUAAGGAUAUUGGACAACUAAAAUGGAAACCAAUUUCCAGGUUCUCUUAUUCUGUUACUGCAACAAUCAAAUUUCAGCAAAUUUUUAAAAAUUGUAUCUCAAUAACUUGAAAAGGAAAUGUUAUAUAUAGCAAAUCUUGAUUCUUACUAUAUGACUUUAGCUAGAAAGUGGCUUUGUAAAUCAUAUGUUCUUGUCAGUAUUGUCAUUGAAAAUAUGUGUGUCAUGAGUUUUGCCUUAUAGAAUUCCAUGACUUAUGUUAAUCCGACAUACCCUCAUGCACAGAAGUGUCCAACAUACCUUCAUGCCCAAAAGUAUUCUUGCUAACUUUCUAGUCAACUGGACAAUCUUAUUUGCCCAAAAGAAAUUAGUCCAUUUAGAUUAUUUUCAUGUAAUUCAAAACAUUGAUGGAGCAUCUGUUAUGUGUAAGCAUUGAAUGAGAUAUGAAUGAGAUGCCUAGAAAUGAAUGAGAGAUUGACCUUGUUUUCAAGGGGCUUACAGUUGAGUGGUAAAAGAAAAAUGCAACUAAGUAUUAUUGUCAUAAGAGAAAAAUAACCAUGGAGAAUAAAUUAUAUCCUUUAUGUUUUUCUUGAAUAUUUUGGUCUACCCUGCCAAGAAUAAUACCCUGUCAAUGGGCUUCUUGAUGCCAAAGGACAUAUUUAUUUACAUUUGAAUCCAAGUGUCUAGCUCAUAGCCUGGAUGCUAUAGUAGCUGCCCAUAUUUGAUUGUUGAACUGACAGGAUUGAAUUGAAUUGAAUUGAGUCUAGUUGAAUCCAAUCGAAUAGAAUGGAAUUACUUGUUUGGGAUCUUGGUCUUAAGAACCAUCAAGAAUUAAGGUUGUCAAGUACUGUGGACAAUACUUCUCACCUCAUGGUUAUCUAGUUAUUUAAUAAAACUGCUUUUAUUUUUUUUUGAACUGAAAAAAUAUAUACUAACAAUGACUUAGAGGCUGCUGCAUUUUGGUCAUCCCCAGGCUACAUUGAUGUCUGUUUUGUGUCUGAGCCAAUUAUUCCUACAGGCAUCAAUUGUUGUCAACAAAUUUCAUUCAGUUUCCUUUUCAUCCGCUGAGAUUUACUGUGUGUGGAGAAGUCAGCUCUAAGCACAUAGUCUUUGAAAUACUUUUUAGAGGGAAGCAUUCUUCCCCACCUCUAUACACUGUCAGUUGACUCCUAUUAUUCUCUUUACACUUAUUUUCAAAGUUUUAUUGUGGCUGUGACUUUUAUUUUAAACUGCUUCAAAUCCAUUUUGGAAGUACAAUUUUUUUAGUAGUAGAAGGCAGUUUCUGAUUUUAGUUUGAAAUUCAAACAUCUAAAAGAAAAUUGCCUCCAUAUCUAUCAUUUUUGUCAAUCUGCAAUAUUUAACAAGGAGAGUUUUUUUUUAACUCUAUUAGAACUGUUCUGAAUAAAAUAUUUUGUAAUGCUUACUGUGUGUAGAUUGACCCAAUGAUGUGAAUUGAGCUCAUAUUCCCCUUCAAGCCCAAGUUCCACUACAGCAAGUGAAAGCAACCUUCUAGAUUAUCUGUUUGUGAACAUUAUCCCAUCAUAAAUGGAACAGUUCAUGUAUAAUUAAUGCAGCUUCCCUAGACAUUUUAUGAAAUGAAAGACCCAAUGAAGAGCUAAUUACUCAUUCUUUCCUAUGCAUCAUAGGGAAGAUAGGAGAGCCUAUCAGCCAGCCUUGUGUUCUUGCAGUCCUGUGAGAAAAAUGGUGGCAUAAUGGAGAUGAAAGCACAUUGGGAAGGAGCUAGCGAUUUUCUUACUAGAUUGAUGGAGCCCUUAUAAAGGGUGGCUCAUUACAACCUCAUUUUGCAUGAAAAACACCAAGAGAAAAAGAGCUUCAAAUGAAAUAGGAGAAGUGAAGCUUACCAUAGAUAUAAUUUUUGACAGCCAUGGUGAUUAACCAUUUUAACAUGCUGCUAUGGGCCUGUGGAAUUUCUCUCCUUGGAGAUUCUUAAAAAAUUGACAGACAACCAACCAUCUUGGAUGGUUUCAAUUAAGAGCAACUGAAAGAAAGAGAGUUUCUGGGGUCUUUUUAAGUUUUAAGAGUCUAUAAACAGUCCCUUAAAUAAACUGUAUAUGCUUUACCUUGGCGGUCUGGGGAAAUGGAGAAGUAAAUCAAUUAGAAAAGCCAAGUUGGAUAUUCUUUCAGCUCUUCAGGAUUUAUAGCUUUUGUAAAACAUACUUCCAAUGUAUAGUUAUUAAGAACAGGUCUGAAUAAACGAAUGGCAUUCUUCAUGGGUUAAAACAGACUGUUUUGUAAGAGCUUUAAGUGAAACUUUACAAUGAACUUUCAUUGUUAUUGAUUGCAACAACCUUCUUAGAUCUAGGUUAUUAUUAUUAAGUCAAGCUUCUUUCCUUUGAUAUAUACUGCCCAGAAAACUACUCCCAGACCUGUCGUUCAUUAGUUGUAGGAGUUUGGCAGGCAUUUAAACUUCCUGGGUCUAAACGUCCUUGUCCAUAGAACAAGGGAAUUUUAUUAAAAUAAAUGACCUCUUCUAGCUUUAACAGACUCAUAGUCUAGGUUGUAUUUAACAAAGCUCUGGUGCUAUUCAAGAAAGAACAACCUUGGAUUUAAGUAGUGACCAAAUAACAUUUAGUCUCUUUUAUCUUAUUUACAUAGUUUCUGUUGGUCCCCAGAGAUAGGAGAUUCCACCCAGUUAAAGUAAGAGGAGCCAGAUUCUUCGUUUUGUUUUGCUUUAAGCUGGAUUUCAACCCCUCGGGGAUGGAAUAGAAGCUUAGAUAUGACCAAAUACAUGCAGGUCUUUUGGACUAAGGAGCCAAAGAAGCACACGCUUCAUGAAAACAGACUGUCAUUUUUCUUUGUUAGGAU
RNAcentral lists this long non-coding RNA (6804 nucleotides) under Homo sapiens (human). RNAcentral describes it as "non-protein coding lnc-PMCH-5:1". The record is from RNAcentral. Lineage: Eukaryota; Metazoa; Chordata; Mammalia; Primates; Hominidae.